UACGAGUGCCCCAAGCGUUAUCCGGAAUUAUUGGGCGUAAAGGGUGUGUAGGUGGCGUGUUUAGUCCUCUGUCAAAAUUCUUCGGCUCAACCGGGGUCUCGCAGAGGAAACGGGCAUGCUCGAGGUUGCGAGGGGUCUAGGGAACUCAUGGAGUAGGGGUGAAAUCCGUUGAUAUCAUGGGGAACACCAAAAGCGAAGGCACUAGACUGGCGCAUACCUGACACUGAGACACGGAAAGCGUGGGUAGCGAACGGGG
Molecule: ribosomal RNA, 256 nt
Filed under: uncultured bacterium
Lineage: Bacteria
Description: partial 16S ribosomal RNA
Rfam family: Bacterial small subunit ribosomal RNA
Source: RNAcentral